RNAcentral lists this transfer RNA (73 nucleotides) under Actinomycetes bacterium. RNAcentral describes it as "tRNA-Ala". It matches the Rfam family "tRNA". Rfam says of the family: Transfer RNA (tRNA) molecules are approximately 80 nucleotides in length. Their secondary structure includes four short double-helical elements and three loops (D, anti-codon, and T loops). The record is from RNAcentral. Lineage: Bacteria; Bacillati; Actinomycetota; Actinomycetes. RNAcentral also lists the same sequence under 3 other names.
GGGGCUAUGGCGCAGCUGGUAGCGCACCUGCAUGGCAUGCAGGGGGUCAGGGGUUCAAAUCCCCUUAGCUCCA